UUAGAGAGAGAAGCUCUCCCUUCUCUCUAAAAAUCCCGCCGGCGAAGGUGGGUGGUGGUGGUGAUUCCGGCGCGGCGGCCGGCCGGUUUCCGGCGGCGGCGCCACCGCGCCGGAAAAUUCGAACUUCUUUUUUUUUUAAAAUUUUUACAUCAAAAGUUCCGUCACCACCUCCUCUACACAAAUCCGGCGUUAGUUUUAGCGAGAACGGAGCGAUUCGGACUAGAUCUACAUUUUUUCUUUGAAAAUUUUUCACACUUUUUUUAAAAAAAAACUACGGAUCUAGAUAUCCUUUUCUCUCUAGUGUCCGAAUCCGGCCUCAAAAUUUUCAAAAUCCGAACGUACACGCCUAGAUCUACAAAUACAUAUCCGUAACAAACUUUUUCACACCUUUUUUUACACUACAUAUGCGCGCGAAAACGGAGAAAAAGAGGAGAGAAAUGCGUUACCUCUGUCGUGAAACGGAGAAAAAUCUUCGGAAAAACUUCGAAUCCUCCUCUUCUCUUUCGCGCGCGCUAUACCCUCCGUUGGUGUUGUUUUUGCUCGAAAAUCCGGUACGUUUUGGUGUUGAUGUGGUGAUUCGCGGUGGUUUUGAGUGAAUCCGGUUCGGAUUUGUUGAUUUUGUGGUGGUUGGAGCUGAUUCCGAGCAGAUCCGGUUUAGAUCUGUUGAUUUUGGUGAUGAGGUGUUCUUGGUGUUCUUCCUCUUUUUUAUGAGUUUUUUCUGUUUUGAUUCUGUUAUGGAUGAGAGAGAGAAAAAGAUUCUGUUUGAGACUGAUUGUGAUUGAUUCUGAUUUUUUUUUUUGACUGAUUGUGAUGGAUCUGACACAUUUACUAUUUAUAGCCUGCCAUGUGUAUCUGAGAACCAAUGAAAAAAUGACAUCUGGACUGUUUUGGACUUAAGGACUAAUCUGCAAAAAGGUUAAUAUGAGGACUAAUCUGCAAAAUAAGAAAAAGGACUAAAAAAUGCAAUUUUAAAAAGUAUUGGACUAAAAUGCAAGUUAAAAUAAAAUUGGAUAAAAAUUGGUAAUUUGAAAAAACGUAAAGUGAAACAAAAAAUAAAAUCAACAAAAGGACUAAAACGAACCAAUUACUGACACGAGGUAUUUUAAAA
RNAcentral lists this long non-coding RNA (1108 nucleotides) under Medicago truncatula (barrel medic). RNAcentral describes it as "lncRNA gene32612". The record is from RNAcentral. Lineage: Eukaryota; Viridiplantae; Streptophyta; Magnoliopsida; Fabales; Fabaceae.